RNAcentral lists this ribosomal RNA (1246 nucleotides) under metagenome. Its description in RNAcentral is "bacterial LSU rRNA". It matches the Rfam family "Bacterial large subunit ribosomal RNA", at positions 1564 to 2819 of the family's 2925-position model. The record is from RNAcentral.
UGAUGACGAGACGCUAAGGCGUUGAAGCAGUGUAUGUCAGACUUCCAAGGAAAGCUCGCAAUGUCACAAGUAAAAAAUGCCUGUACCAUAACCGACACAGGUGGGUAGGUAGAGUAUACUAAGGGGCGCGAGAUAACUCUCUCUAAGGAACUCGGCAAAAUGACUCCGUAACUUCGGGAGAAGGAGUGCCUUAUUUAUAAGGUUGCAAUAACAAGAUCCAAGCAACUGUUUAUCAAAAACACAGGUCUCCGCUAAGUCGUAAGACGAUGUAUGGGGGCUGACGCCUGCCCAGUGCCAGAAGGUUAAAGAAGUUGGUUAGUGUAUGCGAAGCUGAUGACUGAAGCCCUGGUGAACGGCGGCCGUAACAAUAACGGUCCUAAGGUAGCGAAAUUCCUUGUCGGGUAAGUUCCGACCCGCACGAAAGGCGUAAUGAUUUGGAUACUGUCUCGGAGAGAGGCUCGGUGAAAUAGACUUGUCUGUGAAGAUGCGGACUACCUGCACCAGGACAGAAAGACCCUAUGAAGCUUUACUGUAACUUGAAAUUGGAAUUGGACUUUGCUUGCGCAGUAUAGGUGGGAAGCGUUGAAAAUACUCUUGCGGGAGUAUUGGAGCUAUCAGUGAGAUACCACUCUUGUAAUGUUAGAUUUCUAACUUUGAACCAUAAUCUGGUCAAAGAACAGUUUCAGGUGGGCAGUUUGACUGGGGCGGUCGCCUCCCAAAUGGUAACGGAGGCGUACAAAGGUUUCCUCUGAACGGAUAGAAAUCGUAUCUAGAGUGUAAAGGCAUAAGGAAGCUUGACUGUGAGACCUACAAGUCGAGCAGGGACGAAAGUCGGUCUUAGUGAUCUGACGGUACUGAGUGGAAAGGCCGUCACUCAACGGAUAAAAGUUACUCUAAGGAUAACAGGCUGAUCUCCCCCAAGAGUUCACAUCGACGGGGAGGUUUGGCACCUCGAUGUCGGCUCAUCGCAUCCUGGGGCGGUAGUACGUCCCAAGGGUUGGGCUGUUCGCCCAUGAAAGCGGUACGCGAGCUGGGUUCAGAACGUCGUGAGACAGUUCGGUCCAUAUCCGGUGUAGGCGCUAGAAUAUUGAGAGGAGCCUUCUUUAGUACGAGAGGACCGAGAAGGACACACCGCUGGUGUACCAGUUAUCGUGCCAACGGUAAACGCUGGGUAGCUAUGUGUGGAGUGGAUAACCGCUGAAAGCAUCUAAGUGGGAAGCCCACCUCGAGAUGAGUAUUCUCAUCA